UUCCGUAGGGUGAACCUGCGGAGGGAUCAUUACGGGGUUUACAACUCCCAAACCCAAUGUGAACGUUACCAAACUGUUGCCUCGGCGGGGUCACGCCCCGGGUGCGUCGCAGCCCCGGAACCAGGCGCCCGCCGGAGGAACCAACCAAACUCUUUCUGUAGUCCCCUCGCGGACGUAUUUCUUUACAGCUCUGAGCAAAAAUUCAAAAUGAAUCAAAACUUUCAACAACGGAUCUCUUGGUUCUGGCAUCGAUGAAGAACGCAGCGAAAUGCGAUAAGUAAUGUGAAUUGCAGAAUUCAGUGAAUCAUCGAAUCUUUGAACGCACAUUGCGCCCGCCAGUAUUCUGGCGGGCAUGCCUGUCCGAGCGUCAUUUCAACCCUCGAACCCCUCCGGGGGAUCGGCGUUGGGGAUCGGGACCCCUCACACGGGUGCCGGCCCCUAAAUACAGUGGCGGUCUCGCCGCAGCCUCUCCUGCGCAGUAGUUUGCACAACUCGCACCGGGAGCGCGGCGCGUCCACGUCCGUAAAACACCCAACUUUCUGAAAUGUUGACCUCGGAUCAGGUAGGAAUACCCGCUGAACUUAAGCAUAUCAAUAAGCGGAGGAAA
Molecule: ribosomal RNA, 607 nt
Filed under: Trichoderma asperellum
Lineage: Eukaryota; Fungi; Ascomycota; Sordariomycetes; Hypocreales; Hypocreaceae
Description: eukaryotic LSU rRNA
Rfam family: 5.8S ribosomal RNA (bases 217-370)
Source: RNAcentral